This 4388-nucleotide long non-coding RNA is filed under the name Brassica napus (rape). RNAcentral describes it as "long non-coding RNA (BNAP_LNC000101)". The record is from RNAcentral. Lineage: Eukaryota; Viridiplantae; Streptophyta; Magnoliopsida; Brassicales; Brassicaceae.
GCGCCGCCGCGAAAACGAGUAAAGAAAAAUCCAAAACUCGGCGAAGGUUGAGAAAGGAGAAAGGUGAGAGAUGCAAUCCCAAGGAAUAUGGAGCACACUAUGGAGGAAAUACGCAGAUUAUAAGUACAACAAGUUCGAGAGGUUCGCUGUCUGGGAGAUGAUCGAGCCUUACCGUCGACCCAAAACCUUCACAGCUUUGAUUACUAUCUACGUCGCCGCCUUUUACACCGGCGUCAUCGGGGCUGCGGUUACAGAGCAGCUUUACAAGGUAACCUUCGCCAGUGUUAUCGAUUCCACUCGGGUUGUGAUUAGAUUUUGUGGGUUUCUCGUGAUUUGCAAUUCUAGGGUUUCGAAUUGGGAUAAAGUUGAAACCUUUCUUUUGGUGAUGAUCGAGAUUUAGGGAUAAAGUUGAAACCUUUCUUACACUGUUUGAUGUGAACCAAUUACAAGACUAAAGUUAUGCUUCUUGUUCUUCUGUAUGCUUAUGGUUACUCCACUGAUAUUAUAUAAACAGGAGAAGUUUUGGGAAGAGCACCCAGGCAAAACGGUGCCUCUGAUGAAGCCAUUGUACUAUCGAGGACCAUGGAGGGUUUAUCGUGGUGAAGCUAUUGCUUCUGAUGCUAGCAGCAGCCAGUGAGGGUGCUGAGCUUCGCUGGUAUAUAUACAAAACAACUUUGUGUUCUGUAGAAUGCUUGUGUCGCCCCUACUUUGAGUUGUUUCUAGGUUUAUAUGAAUUAAAGCUGGCUGGUAUAUUUUUCUUGUAGACAAUAAGGUUAAGAAUUUGAUUCUUGAAACUCAUGUAAUGGCAGUCUUUGUUAUAACAUUAAGGUUUUGCUAUGAGAAGUUUAAGGGUUUCCAUCCACUCCUUUGAAUCUCUCUCUCUCUCUCCCCUUUCCAUUAUUAGUACAUUGGUAUCUACCUCUCUUCUGGUGUCCUGAAAUAAAACAUUCCAAAUGAGAGAGACGUUCUAACCACCUCAGAAACAUCGAGCCACCAUAGAUUUAUCUCUUGACAGUCUUGUCUUCAUAUAGGUUCCUUUGGUUUUAUUCUCUGUUUCUCUCUUCUUGUCUUGGUGGUCGUUUGUGAUCGAAUAUGACAACGUACGGCACUAUACCAUCCCAAGCAAAUGCCGUCCCGAACCAGAGCAUGUUGGGACGAGCAAAAGGGUUGAUCUCGUUAGGCCUUAGCUCUCGGAGACCAUGGCUUGAACUUGUCCAGUGGAGCUCCCUUAGCCUUCCUACCUCAUUCACUGUUGCCACAGAACGAAUCAAAACCAACAUCAUGAUCUUCCGAACCAACUAUCUUGUCAUCUUCGUUGUUGCUAUCUUCAUCAGCAUGCUUUGGCAGCCUGUCCACCUCUCAGUCUUCGUUGUCCUGAUCAUCGCAUGGCUAUAUGUCUACUCCCGGGAUAACGAACCACUGGUGAUAUUUGGCAGUGUGAUCGAUGACUCUGCUUUGGUGCUGACUUUGUUGGUCCUCACGCUCUGUAUUAUUCUAUUAACUAACGUAACCGGUGGUAUUCUGCUCGCGGUUUUGGCUGGUCUGCCCGUUGUUCUAGUGCAUGGCAUGUGUAGGAAUACAGAGUCAUUGUUCGUCUUGGAAGAUGAUGAAGAGAAAGUAGCCACAAUGAGCGUAGUAUCCUCCUCGCUUUCUUCUUCCUCUUUAACAAAAUGAAACAUUAUGUUUAUGUAAUGAUACAAGUUUCAGACCUUAGUGACACCAUAUUUAGCUAGUCUCUAGGUACUACCAUAUUUUCUAAAAAAUUGCUUGUGGGCGUAAUAAAUAUUCUCUUCUUCUCUGAAUGCAAAUAGUAUGAUAGAAAAACUUUGGAGAUCUUUGCAAUUCCAGUAUAGAAUACUUGUUUUAAUAAAUCCAGAUAAAAGUAGUUUCAUGUAUUUUAUGUAAAUAGUCAAUUCUAUACAUCAAUCUUUUACUCUUUUUCUUUGAAAUUGCACACUUACUGGUACCAUUAAAAUCACUGCAGUGGCAGUACCAUUAAUUAAAAGGUAUUACUAUUUAUUAUAUGAACCCAAUAAGAAAAUAAACAUUCUAUAUAAUUAUUAAAGUUGAUAUCAUUAUCCUUCAAUAUUGUAGUAAUUGUAAUUGCCCUACUGGGUUAUAGUUUUACCUUACAUUUUUUCGUAAUAUUUUAUUUAAUAAGAAUUUUCCUUGCGUUUCCGCUAUAUUUUCAUAGUUCUUAGGAGUUACUUGUCUAGUGGCAAAUCGCAAUGGAAGACAUUAGUAAGGCCGUUGCCAUUGGAUAACUUCUUUAAAAUCAUCCUCUUUGUCUUCUCGUGACUAAUAACCAAGACAUAUUUCUUCUCCACCAAAACUGCUUGAACAAUAUUAUUGAACUCUGUGCCUCCUCCUCUAGCCACAAAAGCUAUUAGUAGUUUAUUUGAAAAGGCUAAUUUUUAUAUUGAUUGAUUGUUGCGUUGGUUACGUCACUGUGGUGUUAUAUACCUUCUAUAUAUGAAUCAUAUACAGAAUAUGUUUUUGAGAGAUUUGAAAAAAUACUACAAUGAUUAUCAUCAGGUCCAUAAUAUACGUAAAUCUUCACUAGUUUUGAAAAAAAAUAUGAGAAAAGCAAAAAAAAAAGCAAAAUAUUGUCAAAAUACAAUAAAAUUAUGAUAAAAAUAAAUUUAAAAUAGAAAAUAUUAUCAAGUAAAUAUGAUAUAAAAUAGAUUAAACCCAAUAAUAGAUAUAAUUGUUAAUAAUUAGUUGAUUAAUACAAAUAUAGAAAUAAACUAUAUUUUGUUAACUAUUUGAGUAAAGUAAAAAAUAAUUGUUAGGAUCUUGAAGAUUUGUAACAUGAACACUAACUCUUUAACUGUAGUUCAAAAAAAGAAAAAAAGUCAAAACACUAACUCAUUAACUUAAAUGAGUUAUGGACUAACAUAUAAGAUCAAAACUAUUUAGAUAUAGUUUCAAUAGAAUAUCACAUGUGUGUAUUCUAAAAUCAAUACUAUUAAAACAGUAACACGAAAUAUGGACCUAACUUGAUCCUAGGUAGAGUAUUUAAAAAAACUAUAUCUUAUACAAUUUAACUAACAUGUAAUGUUAUUAACUAUAUAUCUUUAAAUAUAGUUUAAAUAUGGUAAGAUUUAAAGAAAUAAAUCUAAACAAAUAUCUCAGUCAAUUAUGUAUUAAUUGAGAUCUUACAUAUCAAAUUCCUUUUAAUGCAACUAUAAUAAAUUAUAUUUUGAAAUAUUUCUGACAUUUUAAAGCUUAGUUCUCAUUCUCAAACAAUAUAAAUAAGAAAAAAAAAUUAAUAUAUGCAGCAUUGGUCCAGCCAAGGGACCUGAAGGGUUUACCUUGGAAUCUCUAUCCGUGCAGACGAAUGCAGCCCAACCAGCUGGAUCAAGUUGAAAUGUCACAUUGGUAGAUUUAUUACUGCAACAAUCUAUGGUUGCUCAAGCAAACACUGAGCUUACUAUUCUGUAAAUCUGUCAAUUGUGUUGGUAUAAAAGAAUCCUUCCCGAAGCAUGUUAUGAUACUUUUGCGAAUAGACAAAUCGCACAUGUAUCUUAACUAACUGCUUUAUAAUUUGCUUCCAAAGCAAAGCUUAUUGAUGUAUGAUGCAUGUGUGAGGUUUAAUAUAAGACAAUGAGUACAAAAUUUUCAAUUUAUAUUAUUAUAUACUUACAAAGUAUGUAGUUUGUGUAAUCUUUGCUCUGCUCUUUUGAUCUUUCAAUAUAAUCUUUCAGUGAAAAAAAAAAGAACUAACAAAGUCUGAGCUCAAGACUCAAGUGGAAGUAAAGAUAAGUCAAGGGGCCAAAACCCAAACGUAAUAGGACUAUGAGGACUGUUUGAUAAAUAUUUUAACGAUUAAAGUCUUUUUUUUUUUAUCUGUGUCUGUUUCCAGAUUCACGCGCCGCCGCGAAAACGAGUAAAGAAAAAUCCAAAACUCGGCGAAGGUUGAGAAAGGAGAAAGGUGAGAGAUGCAAUCCCAAGGAAUAUGGAGCACACUAUGGAGGAAAUACGCAGAUUAUAAGUACAACAAGUUCGAGAGGUUCGCUGUCUGGGAGAUGAUCGAGCCUUACCGUCGACCCAAAACCUUCACAGCUUUGAUUACUAUCUACGUCGCCGCCUUUUACACCGGCGUCAUCGGGGCUGCGGUUACAGAGCAGCUUUACAAGGUAACCUUCGCCAGUGUUAUCGAUUCCACUCGGGUUGUGAUUAGAUUUUGUGGGUUUCUCGUGAUUUGCAAUUCUAGGGUUUCGAAUUGGGAUAAAGUUGAAACCUUUCUUUUGGUGAUGAUCGAGAUUUAGGGAUAAAGUUGAAACCUUUCUUACACUGUUUGAUGUGAACCAAUUACAAGACUAAAGUUAUGCUUCUUGUUCUUCUGUAUGCUUAUGGUUACUCCACUGAUAUUAUAUAAACAGGAG